GGUGGUCACAACAUAUUCAAUCGUAAGCAUGGAGGUCCCUAAGCAGCCUGUUGGAGAAGACGAUGAGGAGACAGGAAAAGGAACUCAUGAAUUACCUUCUAGUAAAAAGAGAAAAACUCCUUCGAGCUCAAAGAAAAGUUCAUCAAAGGCGAAAAAAGAGGUGGAUAAGGAAUUGCUUGAAGCCAGUGCACGCCCUCUUGCCAGGGUGGGAUGGUAUAGGGUCGUGCUGGAUGAGGCACAAAGCAUCAAGAAUUACAGAACCCAAGUAGCUAGGGCUUGUUGGGGUCUCCGAGCUAAACGUAGAUGGUGUUUGUCAGGAACACCUAUCCAAAAUGCAGUUGAUGACCUUUACAGUUACUUCAGAUUCCUCAAAUAUGACCCAUAUGCAGUGUACAAACAAUUCUGCUCCACAAUCAAGGUUCCAAUCCAAAGACACCCAACAACUGGGUACAGAAAGCUGCAGGCCGUGCUUAAGACUGUUAUGCUUCGUCGCACUAAAGGUACUUGUAUUGAUGGAAAACCCAUUAUCAACCUUCCAGAGAAACACAUUGUUCUGAGAAAAGUUGAAUUUACGGAUGAGGAACGAGAAUUCUACUGCAGACUUGAAGCUCAAUCACGUGCUCAGUUUGCUGAAUAUGC
RNAcentral lists this unclassified non-coding RNA (639 nucleotides) under Hevea brasiliensis (rubber tree). Lineage: Eukaryota; Viridiplantae; Streptophyta; Magnoliopsida; Malpighiales; Euphorbiaceae. The record is from RNAcentral.